This 1233-nucleotide long non-coding RNA is filed under the name Equus asinus (donkey). RNAcentral describes it as "lncRNA (ENSEASG00005028629.1)". The record is from RNAcentral. Lineage: Eukaryota; Metazoa; Chordata; Mammalia; Perissodactyla; Equidae.
UUAAGUUUAAUAUUUAUUAGAGCAAGAGUCAGAAAAUUAUUAUAUACAGUAGAUACUCUUUUACACAAAACAUAUUUGCACGUGUUUCUGAAAACUAAGUGUAAAAAAUUUUUAGAGUAAUAUCACAUUUUGAAAAUGUCAGGGAAAUUACCCUGACAUUACCAAAUUAGGUAAUGUUUUUUAAGGACGAGGUCGAUUUUUUUUUUUUUAAGUAAGAGAUACCUGGAAAUUCAAUGUGGGUUCACGUAGGUUAACCUAAAAUUUGGCCUUUUUUUUUUUUUGACAAAUCUUACAUUAAAAAUCAUAUUGACAUGAUCACUUUUUCUGCACGAUUUUUUUUUAUUGAAGUAUUAUUGAUAUACAACAUUACGUUAGUUUCAGGUGUACAACAUAGUGAUUCGAUAUUUAUAUGAUGAAAUGAUCACCACAAUAAGUCUAGUUACCGUCUGUCCCCCUAUAAAGUGGCUAUAAUAUUAUUGACUAUACUCCCUAUGCUGUAUAUUACAUCUCCAUGGCAUAUUUAUUUUAUAAUUGUCAGUUUGUAACUCUUCAUCCCCUUCACCUGUUUCGCCCCAUUCCCCACGGGCCUCUCUGCACAUGAUCUGUUUUUACCAGCAUCCAGGUGGGAACACAUGGAUCUCUUACUACCUCGUUAACUCAGGACCCCAGGAACCAGCAAGCUUACAGGAAGUGACUUCUGGUUCUUCUGAUGCCUGAGGCAUGAUGAAGUUCACUCCUGGCCUCAAGAGAAUGGAGCAGGGGAGACGAAGAGUGGACAACCACACCCGGUAAGGCGCCCAGCACAGAGCAGAUGUCCACUGGGGACUACUGUCAACACCACAGCUAAAAAGCUGUGUUGUAAAUACAAUGCUGUGAAUUUUUACAGGCAACCCUUAGACAGCUAAGAGCCCGAAGUGUAGAUCUAUUCUAUUUCCCCACCAGAACAUGCAGGAAGGCAGAUGGAAACGAAAGGACACGAGUGGACUCUUUCACAGUAAAGUGACUGAAAACCUCCCACUGCAGGCAAGACCAAACGUGACAAUGGGAGGAAGAGGCCUGAACAGUGCGGCUGUAACUCUAUCCUGACCUAAGAAAGGGCCCCAAACUUGGCAUCAUUUACAUGAGCCGGGAAGGACAUGCAAUAAAAUUACCUGGAAGGGUAAGCGGGAUAGAUUUCAUAGGAUUCUGACCAAUUCUGGAAUCCUAUAUGCUUGAUGUUUUCCCCACACUGAA